Molecule: ribosomal RNA, 450 nt
Filed under: uncultured bacterium
Lineage: Bacteria
Description: partial 16S ribosomal RNA
Rfam family: Bacterial small subunit ribosomal RNA
Source: RNAcentral
GUAGGGAAUCUUCCGCAAUGGACGAAAGUCUGACGGAGCAACGCCGCGUGAGUGAUGAAGGUCUUCGGAUUGUAAAGCUCUGUUAAUCGGGACGAAAGAGCCUAGUGUGAAUAAUGCUAGGAAGUGACGGUACCGGAAUAGAAAGCCACGGCUAACUACGUGCCAGCAGCCGCGGUAAUACGUAGGUGGCAAGCGUUGUCCGGAAUUAUUGGGCGUAAAGCGCGCGCAGGCGGAUCUGCCAGUCUGUCUUAAAAGUUCGGGGCUUAACCCCGUGAUGGGAUGGAAACUACAGAUCUAGAGUAUCGGAGAGGAAAGUGGAAUUCCUAGUGUAGCGGUGAAAUGCGUAGAUAUUAGGAAGAACACCAGUGGCGAAGGCGACUUUCUGGACGAAAACUGACGCUGAGGCGCGAAAGCCAGGGGAGCGAACGGGAUUAGAAACCCCUGUAGUCC